AAAGGUAAAUAAGGGCACUAAUAGUGGAUGCCUUGACAAUCAAUACCGACGAAGGACGUAGAACUCUGCGAUAAGUCUUGGGGAGCUGAGAGCAAGCUUUGAUCCAGGAAUCUCCGAAUGGGGCAACCUAAUACGAGUCAUGUCGUAUUGCAAUUACUUGAACACAUAGAGUAAUCAGACGGGAACCAGCCGAACUGAAUCAUCUUAGUAGGUUGAGGAAAAGAGAAUAAACAAUGAUUCCGAAAGUAGUGGCGAGCGAAAUUGGAACAGCCCAAACCUUAACAUAACCAUACGGUUUAACGGCCAGAGUUAUGAAAGGGGUUGUGAAAUAAGAUAAUUUUUAUGCUGAGUUAUUGGAAGAAAUUGCCAAUAUUCAGCAUAAAAACCAACAUCGUUAAGUGAAUGGAUAAUGAUAAAAUCCUUUAGAUCAUAGCAGAAGUGUUUGAAUGGCACACCAAAGAAGGUGAGAGUCCUGUACGCGAAAUGGUCUUAGGCAUUAUAUAUCUUUUUUCAAGUAGGACGGGGCACGAGAAACCCUGUUUGAAUCCGGCAGGACCACCUGCCAAGGCUAAAUAUAUUGAUUGAUCGAUAGCGAACUAGUACAGUGAUGGAAAGGUGAAAAGAACCCCGGGAGGGGAGUGAAAUAGAUCCUGAAAUUUAGUGCCUACAAGGAGUCGGAGCCGGCUUGUCCGGUGACGGCGUGCUUUUUGUAGAACGAUCCAGCGAGUUAAUUUCGUGCGCAAGGUUAAGCCAGUUGGCGGAGCCACAGUGAAAGCGAGCCUGAAUAGGGCGAUUAAGUGUACGGGAUUAGACCCGAAACCGGGUGACCUAACCAUGAGCAGGUUGAAGCCACUGUAACAGGUGGUGGAGGACCGAACCAGGAUACGCAGCAAAGUGUUUGGAUGACUUGUGGUUAGCGGUGAAAUGCCAAUCGAACUCGGAGAUAGCUGGUUCUCCUCGAAACAGUUUUAGGACUGGCGUCAUGUGGUAGCAGUCGGGGGUAGAGCUCUGUAAAGGACUGGGGGGAGCAAUCCUACCCACCCUUAACAAACUACGAAUACCGGCUGUGGAAUCAUGGCAGUUAGAACGGCGGAGCUAAGUUCGUCGCUCAAAAGGGAAACAGCCCAGACCAUCGUCUAAGGUCCCUAAAUUUACGUUAAGUGGGAAACAAGGUGAGAUUUCUUAAACAGCUAGGAUGUUGGCUUAGAAGCAGCCAUUCAUUUAAAGAGUGCGUAACAGCUCACUAGUCAAGAGAUCUUGCGUGGAAAAUGUAACGGGGCUAAACGUAAUACCGAAGACAUGGGUCUAUGCAUUAGCAUGGGCGGUAGAGGAGCGUUCCUAUCGGCAGUGAAGCAGUAUUGUAAAGUGCUGUGGAGCGGUAGGAAGUGAGAAUGCUGGAAUGAGUAACCAUAAGAGAGGUGAGAAUCCUCUCGGCCGUAAGAGCAAGGUUUCCUGAGCUAUGGUAAUCAUCUCAGGGUUAGUCGGGCCUAAGCCGAGGCGCAUAGCGUAGGCGAUGGACAUCAGGUUGAUAUUCCUGAACCGGCGUAGUUUGUACACUGUUCACGGAGAGAUAUUCAGAGCGGAUUCAUGGUUUAUCCGUCCAACCGAGCGGGAACGCAAAGGGAGUGAAAGUUACUCUGCGGAGUGAUGAUUCUGGAAAAGGCUCUGGCUAGAAAAGCAGGUGUACGCGUGGCUAUGUCCGCCCGUACCGCAAACCAACACAGGUGCUCGAGUCGAGUAGACUCAGGCUUACGAGUGAACCUUCGCUAAGGAACUCGGCAAUACAGCGACCGUAACUUCGGGAUAAGGUCUGCCCCCACUUCGGUGGAUAUCAGCCGCGUUCACUCAGUGAAUAAUAGGUUAAAGAGUACAUUUUUAAUCACAAAACGAAUUUUCUGAGACACGAGCAAACAAAUUGCUCUUUGAACGCGAACCUCUUGUAUCUAACGAUGUGGGGGCCGCAGCAAAAGAGCCCACGGAACUGUUUAUCAAAAACACAGGUCUCUGCUAACACGAAAGUGGAUGUAUAGGGGCUGACUCCUGCCCGGUGCCGGAAGGUUAAGGGGAGUGCUUCACGGUGCAAACUGAAGCCCCGGUGAACGGCGGCGGUAACUAUAACCGUCCUAAGGUAGCGAAAUUCCUUGUCAGGUAAGUUCUGACCCGCACGAAUGGAGUAAUCAUGUGGGCACUGUCUCAGCGAAGGACUCGGUGAAAGUGCAUUGGCGGUAAAGAUGCCGUCUGUCCAUACCAGGACGAGAAGACCCCAUGGAGCUUUACUACAGCUUUACAUUGAAUACGGUUUCAACAUGUGUAGCAUAGGUGGGAGAUAUUGAAGCAGAUACGCCAGUAUUUGUGGAGUCACCAAGUGAAAUACCACCCUUGUUGUGAUUGUGUUCUCACGCUGACCGUUAUCCGGUUAGCGGACCGUGUAUGGUGGGUAGUUUAACUGGGGCGGUUGCCUCCUAAAGAGUAGCGG
This 2476-nucleotide ribosomal RNA is filed under the name human oral metagenome. RNAcentral's name for it is "bacterial LSU rRNA". It matches the Rfam family "Bacterial large subunit ribosomal RNA", at positions 1 to 2303 of the family's 2925-position model. The record is from RNAcentral.